Molecule: ribosomal RNA, 159 nt
Filed under: Lasiodiplodia theobromae
Lineage: Eukaryota; Fungi; Ascomycota; Dothideomycetes; Botryosphaeriales; Botryosphaeriaceae
Description: 5.8S ribosomal RNA
Rfam family: 5.8S ribosomal RNA
About the family: 5.8S ribosomal RNA (5.8S rRNA) is a component of the large subunit of the eukaryotic ribosome.
Source: RNAcentral
AAAACUUUCAACAACGGAUCUCUUGGUUCUGGCAUCGAUGAAGAACGCAGCGAAAUGCGAUAAGUAAUGUGAAUUGCAGAAUUCAUUGAAUCAUCGAAUCUUUGAACGCACAUUGCGCCCCUUGGUAUUCCGGGGGGCAUGCCUGUUCGAGCGUCAUUA